CUAAAUGGAAGUGAGAGGUCUGGAACCGUUAAGGUGUCACUGAAUGUCUGAGUGACUACUUUGAUAUUGUGUUUUUCAGAUGCAGAGAGACAACUGGUGUACCAAAAGCUGCUGAUGGAGUUGCAGGUGGAGUGCCAUAGGGAGAUGGAGACCAAGCCUCACCAUGGCAGCCUGAGAUGAUGGAUGCUGCGCAGGAGAGCGGUCAAGGAAACAUACCAGGAGAUGGGUAUUGGUGGGGGCAGCCUCUGCUUUGUGUUAGUAUCUUAAGUACCUCUCUUCUUUUGCAGGUGCCACAUACAGCCUCAGAGGGGUUGAGCUUCAUGCUGAAAAAUGGUUUGAGAGGUGCUGUGCAGCCUGCCUUUGCAAUGGGAAGAGCAGUUGAGGUGCCCCAUGUGAUGAUGGCUGCAGCGUUGGGUGUUUGAAUUGGGACAGAACAGAUGAUGAUCAAGAGGAACCUAGCCGUGCGUGGUUGUCCCACUUAGCUGAUGCGGUUUGAGCUUUUUCUGGAAAAAAAAUGCGACGCAGGAGGACAACCUGUGUGCCGAAUGGUGAUUGCUAGGCCAGGAGAAUGCAAGCAUCAAAUGUAUGCAAGCAAGCCAGCCCUCGGUGCAUGCAAGCCCUUGAUAUGUCCAGGCAAGCCAGCCCUCGGUGCAAGGAACCCAGCAUUUGUGUGCAAGCUAGGCUUUGGUGCAUGCACUUGAAACAAGGAUUUGGUGCAAGCAAGCCAACCCUUGGUGCAUACACUUAAAGCAAGGAUUUGAUGCAAGGCUUAGUGCAGCCAUGUAAUAGCUCAAUGCCAGCUCUUGCCAGCCAGAAGCUGAUGCAGGCAUGUAAACAAGGCAGCCACCCAGCCUUCAGUGGGUGCACUUGAUGUCAGCUAGCCCUUGGUGUGUGCAGACAAGCAACCAGUUGCUGCCAAGACUGGAUGCCAGACAGCCCUUGGUGCACGCCUGCCUGCCAGUGAGGACUUGGUGCACACCCUUGAUGCCUGCCCGCCUGCCAGCGAGGACUUGGGGCGUGCACUUGAUGCCUGCCUG
This is a long non-coding RNA of Cuculus canorus (common cuckoo), 1037 nucleotides long. RefSeq lists it as uncharacterized. The record is from RefSeq and is a predicted model, not a curated record. The transcript is spliced from 6 exons. Lineage: Eukaryota; Metazoa; Chordata; Aves; Cuculiformes; Cuculidae.